UACGUAGCUCCCGAGCGUUGUCCGGAUUUAUUGGGCGUAAAGCGAGCGCAGGUGGUUUAUUAAGUCUGGUGUAAAAGGCAGUGGCUCAACCAUUGUAUGCAUUGGAAACUGGUAGACUUGAGUGCAGGAGAGGAGAGUGGAAUUCCAUGUGUAGCGGUGAAAUGCGUAGAUAUAUGGAGGAACACCGGUGGCGAAAGCGGCUCUCUGGCCUGUAACUGACACUGAGGCUCGAAAGCGUGGGGAGCAAACAGG
This 252-nucleotide ribosomal RNA is filed under the name uncultured bacterium. RNAcentral's name for it is "partial 16S ribosomal RNA". It matches the Rfam family "Bacterial small subunit ribosomal RNA", at positions 524 to 776 of the family's 1533-position model. The record is from RNAcentral.